GCAAGUCGAACGCACAUUGCUGGCCUGAAACCCUAGCGUUUCGGGUCACGUACAUCCGAGGGUCG
Molecule: ribosomal RNA, 65 nt
Filed under: Trioza remota
Lineage: Eukaryota; Metazoa; Arthropoda; Insecta; Hemiptera; Triozidae
Description: partial 5.8S ribosomal RNA
Source: RNAcentral